Molecule: ribosomal RNA, 631 nt
Filed under: uncultured bacterium
Lineage: Bacteria
Description: bacterial SSU rRNA
Rfam family: Bacterial small subunit ribosomal RNA
Source: RNAcentral
CCUACGGGAGGCAGCAGUGGGGAAUUUUGGACAAUGGGCGAAAGCCUGAUCCAGCCAUUCCGCGUGCAGGAUGAAGGCCCUCGGGUUGUAAACUGCUUUUGUACAGAACGAAAAGGUUUCUACUAAUACUAGGAGCUCAUGACGGUACUGUAAGAAUAAGCACCGGCUAACUACGUGCCAGCAGCCGCGGUAAUACGUAGGGUGCAAGCGUUAAUCGGAAUUACUGGGCGUAAAGCGUGCGCAGGCGGUUAUAUAAGUCAGAUGUGAAAUCCCCGGGCUCAACCUGGGAACUGCAUUUGAGACUGUAUAGCUAGAGUACGGUAGAGGGGGAUGGAAUUCCGCGUGUAGCAGUGAAAUGCGUAGAUAUGCGGAGGAACACCGAUGGCGAAGGCAAUCCCCUGGACCUGUACUGACGCUCAUGCACGAAAGCGUGGGGAGCAAACAGGAUUAGAUACCCUGGUAGUCCACGCCCUAAACGAUGUCAACUGGUUGUUGGGUCUUAACUGACUCAGUAACGAAGCUAACGCGUGAAGUUGACCACCUGGGGAGUACGGCCGCAAGGUUGAAACGUUAAAGAGUUAGUACGGACGUGAGACGUAGCCGAACGGACGACGACGACGGGAGGAGGAGG